AGACCUGGGACAGACUUCUUUCAUUUUCUGAUCUGCUUUUGCCAGAUGUCCUCUGUAGCAAGAGGCAGGACAAACAGUGAGGAGUCCACCAACACUCACCGGGUGACCCCUUUGCUUUGGAAACUUACUCAGGGUGAAAGGAAUUCCGAUUUUAAACAGCAUCUCUUUGUGUGGCCUGUUUGAGGCACCACACAGAGCUUGCUGGAGCAGCCCUGUUGACCGCUGACCCUUGGCCUGCUAACUGAAACAAGGACUGGCCUUCAGCACAUGAAUGUCUUCUCCGACCCAGCAUGCUGUGGAACAGGCUUGGACACUGACUUCCCACUGACCUCAAAGGCAGUGCUCUUCUUGAACUGGACUUACUUCAAAUGCAAGGCAGAACUUUUUAUUCUGGAAAGAAUCGUGCCCACAGAACAGACACUGGCGAUCAUAUCCUUUUAAAGAAUGAUGUUCAGCUAACAGGUUGUUACAUUAGUAACUAAACUAGAAGUUCUUGUCCUAUGGAGAGAAUCUCAAGUCUUUGAAAACAAAUUCUUUCCUACCCUUCACUCAAGUAAUUUAUCUGCUCUGAAGAAUGCCAAAAACACACCACUGUGCGCUGCCCAGCGCCACACACAUUUCCACUUAUUUUUUAGGCUAAGCAGCAAAUGUGGAUCCAAAAGUGGAAGAAAUCAGACACUGCUGAUGGCAGAUGUUUUGCCAAUAGGUCAGAUGGCUGCAUGUUUUUAAUCAAACAGUCUCCAUCACCUGAGAGCAGAGAUCAAAUUAUCAAGGUGGUGUGUGUGGACAGCUUUUUGCAGCCACUGGCAGACUCAGUUUCCUUUGUCAAUUUCUGUCUGGGAUACGAUGCUGUUCAAAAUGCUGUUUCAGGUAUGUCUUUAUCAGCAGCUUGAAAAUGAACUAAAACAGUAAAUUGGUACCAGUAGAGUGCGGUGUUGCUGAAAAAAUACCCAAAAAUGUGAAAGUGACUUUGGAACUUGAUAACAGGCAGAGGUUGGAACAGUUUGGAGGGCUCAGAAGAAGACAGGAAAAUGUGGGAAAGUUUGGAACCUCCUAGAGACUUAUUGAAUGACUUUGACAAAAAUGCUGAUAGUGAUAUGAACAAUAAAGUCCAGGCUGAGGUGGUCUCAGAUGGAGAUAAAGAACUUGUUGGGAACUGGAGCAAAGGUGACUCUUGUUAUGUUUUAGCAGAGACUGGCGGCAUUUUGCCCCUGCCGUAGAGAUUUGUGGAACUUUGAACUUGAGAGAGAUGAUUUAGGGUAUCUGGCAGAAGAAAUUUCUAAGCAGUAAAGCAUUCAAAAGGUGACUUGGGUGCUGUUAAAAGCAUUCCAUUUUAAAUGGGAAAUGGAGCAUAAAAGUUAAAGAAAUUUGCAGCCUGACAAUGCAGUGGAAAAGAAAAACUCAUUUUCUGGGGAGAAGUUCAAGCCAGCUGCAGAAAUUUGCAUAAGUAGCAAGGAGCCUAAGGUAAUCCCCAAGGCCAUGGGGAAAAUGUCUCCAAGUCAUGUCAGAGACCUUCACAGCAGCAUCUCCCAUCACAGGCCUGGAGGCCAAGGAGGAAUAAGUGGUUUAGUGGACUGGGCCCAGGUUCUCUGUGCUGUGUGCAGCCUAGAGACUUGGUGCCCUGUGUCCCAGCUGCUCUAGCCAUGGCCAGAGGGGGCCAAUGUACAACUUGGGCUGUGGCUUCAGAGAGUGGAAGCCCCAAGCCUUGGCAGCUUCCAUGUGGUAUUGAGCCUAUGGGUGCAUAGAAGUCAAGAAUUGAGGUUUAGGAACCUCAGCCUAGAUUUCAGAAGAUGCAUGGAAAUGCCUGGAUGCCCAGGCAAAAGUUUUCUGCAGGGGUGGGGCCCUUAUGGAGAACUGCUAGGGCAGUGUGGAAGGGACCUAGUGGAGCUGUGAGAAGAGGGCCACCAUCCUCCAGACCCCAGAAUGGUGGAUCCUUUGACAACUUGCACUGUGCACCUGGAAAAGCCACAGACACUCAACGCCAGCCCAUGAAAGCAGCCAGGAGGGAGGCUGUACCCUGCAAAGCUACAGGGGCAGAGCUGCCCAAGACCAUGGGAACCCACCUCUUGCAUCAGCAUGACCUACAUGUGAGCCCUGGAAUCAAAGGAGAUCAUUUUGGAGCUUUAAAAUUUGAUUGACUUGUUGGAUUUUGGACUGGUAUGGGGCCUGUAACCCCUUGGUUUUGGCCAAUUUCUCCCAUUUGGAACAGUUGUAUUUACCCAAUCCCUGCACCCCCAUUGUAUCUAGGAAGUAACUAUUUUUGAUUUUACAGGCUCAUAGGCGGAAGGGACUUGCCUUGUCUCCGAUGACACUUUGGACUGUGGACUUUUGGGUUAAUGCUAAAACGAGUUAAGACUUUGGGGGACUUUUGGGAAGGCAUAAUUGGUUUUGAAAUGUGAGGACAUGAGAUUUGGAGGGGCCAGGGGCAGAAUGAUAUUGUUUGGCUGUGUCCCUAUUCAAAUCUCAAGUAGAAUUAUAUCUCCCAGAAUUCCCACAUGUUGUGGGAGGGACCUAGUGGGAGGUAAUUGAAUCAUAGGGGCUUGUCUUUCUCAUGCUAUUCUUGUGAUAGUGAAGAAGUCUCACAAGAUCUGAUCAUUUAUAACGGGUUUCCACUUUUGCAUCUGGAUCAUUUUUCUCUUGAUGCCACCAUGUAAGAAGUGCCUUUCACCUCCCACCAUGAAUCUGAGGCCUCCCGAGUCAUGUGGAAAUUAAGUCCAGUUAAAGUUCUUUUUGUUCCCAGUUUUGGGUAUGUCUUUAUCAGCAGUAUGAAAACGAACUAAUACAUCAGCCAUGGAAGAAAGUGAGUAUUCAGUGUGCAAACACCUGGUUUGAUUUGUUUACAUGCAUGUCUGGGGUGACUGAACUCAAGUAAUGCACCUAAGGCUCCAUGUUUUGGAUAGAAGUCUGGGUUUGAUAGCAGGCACCAAAAGCAAAUGACUAACUCUAACUCAGGGGACAGAAUACAGCAUGUCUGUGUCCUGGAGAAGACCAUAAACUCUGUCUUUCCAACCGUACAGGUCACUAUAAGGAUAUAGUGAGUUAAUGCAGGAGAAUGUGCUUGGUAAUCUGUAAAGUGUUUUGGAAUUGCAAGGGAAAAUUCCGUGAGUUCCACUAUGAUUGAGACUAAUUUUGUGGCUUUGCAAGGAGAUGUGGCAUGGAAACAUACUCAUGCUUUGAUAACUGAAAGCAAAAUUCUGCAAUGAAACCAUCAUCUUGAGUGUGUGCUAUCAUGCUCAGUAAUCCAAGAUCUCACAGCUUACGUGAUUCUCAACCAUCUCAGCCUCUUCCAACUUUGGUGUUUCCAGUCUCAGAAAGGUGAGGACCUUUUCCCACACAUAAGCAGUGACAUCUUUAAGUCUCACAAAAGAUUUACUUUGAAAAGAUUUUCUUUUUUGGGGUAAAGUCAUGAGAAAACCUCUCAGCUAGGAAAAAGAAAAAAAUAAAGACAAAUUUCAUGUUAGCAGCCUAAAUAAAGAGCUUUGUUAAUAUGAUAAA
This is a long non-coding RNA of Pongo pygmaeus (Bornean orangutan), 3495 nucleotides long. RefSeq lists it as uncharacterized. The record is from RefSeq and is a predicted model, not a curated record. The transcript is spliced from 3 exons. Lineage: Eukaryota; Metazoa; Chordata; Mammalia; Primates; Hominidae.